This 25118-nucleotide long non-coding RNA is filed under the name Olea europaea (common olive). RNAcentral's name for it is "long non-coding RNA (OEUR_LNC008433)". The record is from RNAcentral. Lineage: Eukaryota; Viridiplantae; Streptophyta; Magnoliopsida; Lamiales; Oleaceae.
GAACUUUCCAUCAAGAGAUGAUAAUUACAUUACUUUAUUAGUUGCAUAAUGAUAAUAUGCUGAACAAUCAAUCAGAUAUUGAUCAUCAGCUUCACAUAGUUUCUGUGCCAUCUUCCCUGGCAACAAGUUCUUUCAAACGAUAUAGCAGCAAAUGGAAGUCAUCGUCGCUCUUAAGAAGGCUGAGACGUACAUAGCGAUCUUCAGAAUUGAACAAGCUACCCGAACGACCUAUGAUGUUUGCUGCACCUAGGACAUCAUUACAAUUUGUGUCUUCUUCCCUCUCACAUUUGAACCAGACAUAUGCUGUCAUCAGUAUAAAACUGUCAGCUUUGAAAGUUUUCCUAUCUAGAGCCACAUACACGUCUAUUUGCCUUUAGACGAAAUCAUAUCAGACCAACUUCCUUUAAAAGCUUUCUAACUAUUCGAAUCACUUUCAUAAAAUUAGCCAAAUAUGUCCAAAAGCAGCUUUUGAGUCUCAAAAGCUCCUUUUGGAUUUUCAAAAGCCAUGCUGAAUGUGCCCUUAAUCUAUUAAGAUCACAUUGAAGGGAUUUAUAUAACAAAAUUUCUAUUUAAAAUUAUAAAUUUUGACGAACCUAAAUUCUAACUUUCAUGUGCAGGAAUGAAUGUGUCAAGUGAAGAUCACCUGGAGAUGGACCCCUGAUUUUCUCAAAGAAGUUGCAGUAUUGAGGUGGAAUUUCUUGGAUAGUAAAACGCUUCGAAAAUGAUACAGUCUGGCUAAUCUUUUCCCACCGGUCCCUCAUUUUCUCAUAUGCAAAGUGAAAUAUUUCGCUGCCAUCACCUUCAAGAACUACUUUGAGAAGUUGGAGAGCUCUCAACUGAGUAUCCCUUGAGACGCCCAUUUCUGCCAGUUGAAAAUACUCGCACAUAUUAAGGUAAACAUCCUUAUCCUUCACUAUAGCCCAACUGCAUUAAGAAAUACUUGAAUCUUCUGUCAAAUGUAGCUAGAAUAUUAGUAGUCCGCUGUCCCACACUAAAUUUGAAAUCCAAGAUUUUGCAAUAGAUUUUUGAAGAUUUUACACGAGAUUUUCAAAAAUAUUCCUAGUAAUUUUCUAUUUGCCUCCACAAUUAAAAUUUUGUGAAAUUUGUCCCCCACAACUCUACCCUCCUGGUUCCGCCUGUGCGGUACAGGUGGAAAAAUCGACCCAAUUAUUGAAAUAUUUCGGCUGUUUAAGAUUUUCGAGAAUAUAAGUAUAGUGAAGAGCUGGAAAAGUAAGCGAUUACCCGAAUCUACUUCCAGCAUGGCCAGUGAGCUUGGAAAUUGUGAAAAUCAUGAUAUCUUCAUCUGCUGGUGCAGGAAUUGCUGUAAAAUGCGGCCAGUAAUAGGCACGAUCAUAAAUGGCGUUCGCUGAUGGUAGAACCGCCUUUCUUAAAUGACCAUCUGGAUUAUUUGGAGAAGUUACAAAUUCAAUCACAUUUUCACCAGAAUCUGAAGUAUUUUUCAAUACCAAUGCAUCUCCUUGAAACUCAAAGUGAACAGUUUCGAAGAAGUCCGUCUGCGUUUUAUAUACCUGUGGAUCAUGGAUUCCAAGUUUUUCAAUACUUGCAACAAUUUUUCCUAUUGAAAGUGAAGAUUGUAAGUAUACGAACCGGAUAAUAAGGCGAUGCUGCAACGACUCUUGCAGGCGACGAAGAUUUGAGGGAAAGAGCAAAAACUGCUGCUGAGAGGAGUUGAGUGGAGCCAACACCAAAAACAAUGUAUUUUCCUUUUGUAAUUGCAUUUCUGGCAAUGGAAUGGACUUUGAGAAUGUGGUUUACAAGCACUUGUGAUAUUGAAGUAUGAUCUGCAAAUACAUAGCUCAUUCUGUGCCAUCCUGCAACUAGGACUGCACUGCUUUCUGCAUGUUGCAUCCAAAAGGGCUCCAAAAAUAAUGGAUCCCCACUGCAUUAGAUAAAUUUAUUGUCAAUCUUGGUUGGUUGGUAUGCUUGACUUGACAUAAGUAUACUUUUUCUUUUUCUAACACUCUCCAAUGUCGUACAGUUCACUUGUCGAGCAAGCAACUAUAUUAGAAUUAGAUAUAUAAUCACAUUUUUUAUUGGAUUAUAGCCUACGUUCUCUUGCAGUAUUUUGUUCUUCUAGUAACAGUAUUUUGUUCUUCUGGUUAUCUACUAUGUUGAUUAAUUAAAUCAUGAAAGUCACAUCAGAAGAGAUCCCAUUAUGUUGUCCACGGGGAGAGUCACUAAUUGGAUUAAUCAAUUGUUUCAGCAUCAAUAUUGUUGCGUAUUGUCAAACCUGUCCUAUCCAUCUGGGCCAAUGGCCCACUCAUCCUGAUCCACGUGGCAUUCCUGCCGAAGUGGCACACAUUGUCGAGGUGGGUUAUAUCUAAAGUGCUUCAAGCCGAGGUCCAUCCGUCGAGGCUCCACGAUCCGACGUACUCUGCCGAAGUCCAACUACCGAGCCCCAUGACCCAAAGCAUGGAACUUGUUGAAUUUAGCUGAGGUCCUCAGGUGGAAGUAUUUGUCAAAUGGUCGAAACCCCGAAGCUGAUACACGAGUCUCUUAACCACAAGGAGCUUCCUUCACAGUCACUCCUUCCAAGAGAUCGUCUGCUCAGAGAUAUUAUUCGAAUGAUUGAUGAAACGUUUGUCACAAGCAUAAAGGUCAAGUUUUGUCACUAGUAUGGAGGACUUGCGCAAGCAAUAAAUGCGCCGUAAGCUAGCAAGUCAAGCCCCAUACCUAAGAAAAGACGUUUGAACUAAAGAGAUGACGCCACGUGCCACUUCAUCCAAGGGCUCCCAUUUCAUGUGUGUCACUAUAAAUACUUCCAUUGUGUAAUGUCAAAGGCUAAUGCAAGAAUCAAUACUAAAGACUAUAUUUACUCAACUCUCUCUCAGUUACUUGCAAUACACAAAUCGAGUUUAUACACUUUUACAUAUACAUUUACGAGCACCGAUUGGUAAUUAUUGUACAAUCGGAUUACGAACUACCCGCCGGAUUCCGAACGUCACCGUCCCGCGUCGUUGGGCUACUCCCACGCCCCUUUAAACCGCUCGUUUUAGACCAUCCACGUGUCUUAGCGUGUUGGACAUGAGGGAGUUCAUGGCCCAAAUGCAAGGCCAGGGAGGCUUCCCCAUUCCUCCAUAUGCCACCCACGGGCACUAUCAACAAGAGGAAGAGGUCCAGAGUCAUAGGGCUGCCUCGCCAGACUAUGGCCGGGGUGAAAGCCCAUUCAAGAGGGAAGUGGGAGUCGACAUUUCCUCCAACUAUGUAUCUGGCCGACCCACCGAGGUCUAAAUGAGCCAUGAUAACUUUCCACCUCCAUAUGAGCAAGACCCAAGACAUAGGAGAGCAGGAAGUGUUUUUGACAGAAUCAGCCCUGCCGAACCGAGACCCAGUCAACAGCAGGCACAGCAGCCUCGGACGAGGUCACAGCCUCCAUCUCCGAUGCCCCAGCAACCGGAGAGAAGACAUGAAAAUGCCCCCCGUGCUAUCCCGCCUAGAAGUAGGCCGCAAAGGAGGGAGGAAGAGGCCAUGAACCGGUCCGGACCCUCUCACCAACAACCGAGGUACGAGCUCGAAGACUACGAUUCUGAUGAGCAGCAGAGGUCCUGUGACUUGGACGAUGAUGAUGAGAACCUACCAUUCUCAAGAGAACUAAGAAAUGCCCAGGUCCUGAGCCACUAUGUCAUGCCAAAAAUACCAAAGUAUGAUGGGAGAGGUGACCCAGAAAAGCACCUCAACGCUUACAAAACUCACAUGAGCCUGAGGGGCGCCACCCCAGCCGUGAAGUGCAGAGCAUUCCAUUUAACCCUCAGUGGAGCGACUAAAAUCUGGUAUAGUAGGCUACCACCUGGGAGCAUCCGAAGCUGGCCCGAGUUCAAGACUACCUUCUUGAAGAGGUUCGCAGUGAGCAAGGAAGGAGAGGUCCCUAUCCAGCGUCUCCAAGACAUGAGACAGGCACAUGGCGAGUCCCUGAAAAGCUUCCUAUCCCGCUUCACCGACGAGAUGACCUACUGCGUACAAGUCACCGACAGAGAAGCACUAUCUGCAUUGAGAAGAGGCUUGAACAUAAACACCCUAUUCUGGAGGGAUGUGCAGAAUCAAGACCCCACCACCUAUGACGCCCUACUACAGAUGAUGAGAAGGGAGAUAAUCAAUGAAGAAUUGAUUGAGCAUAGGAACAGAGCAAGCAGAGGCCUCCCACCUCCUCAAAGACAGCGAGGUAGGGGACCGACCUCCCACCUCAUGGACUACCAGAUGAAUCGAGCCGGAAAUGAGAACUCCGGCUAAGCCCUGGCCACCACAACUCUGAACGCGGUUCCAACCUUGGCAUAUGAGGAUGUCAACCCAACUGCUGUUCCACAUCAAAUGGAGGCCCAGCAGGGACCCCGUAGAGGAAGAGGCCGAGGCCGAGGUUUUGCACCUAGAAAUAGGUCCAAUUCGAACCUCACUGGAUACUAUUUGCACCAUAGGUCCUACGGGAUCGACACUUCAGAUUGCAGAGACUAUGCACACCGCUCCCGGCAGGAACCCGCCAGAGAAAGACAUAACUCGCCCCAGGCGAACAGGCCCCCGCCCAGCCAAGACAACCGACAUGGGCGUGAGGCGGCCGCUCCUCAUCAAAGGGAUGUAUCCCCAAGGCGAAGAGAGCAAAACACAGAGAGGCCCAGGGAAGGGCGUAGACGCCAAAGAAAUAGGCAAGCUCAAGAUGAGGUCUCUAUCCACGAGAUAGAUACCAUAUUUGGAGGCCAUUAUGUUGGCGGUGAAACACGGAACGCCAAAAGAAAUUAUGCUAGGGAGGCUAAGCACCCCCUAUGACGAGUUACAUUGUGGACGGUAGCUCUCGAAGAAACCAAGUACCACCAAUUGUCUUCACCCAGGAAGACGUCGAGGGAGUUCAUUACCCCCACUACGAUGCGCUGGUGGUGAGAGCUGUCAUAGCCCGAAAUGGGCUCAAACGAAUGCUAGUCGACAACGGCAGCUCCGUCAACAUCCUAUUCGGGUCCGCCUUUGACAAAAUGAUAUUGGACCAUCAGUUGACGCCCAUCACCACUCCGUUGUACGGAUUUAUCGGAGAUAGCAUCACUCCGAGAGGAAAGAUAACACUGGCAGUGGAGAUGGGAGAAUCUCCUCAAACUACGAUGAACUUCAUGGAAUUCCUCGUAGUUGACAGCCGGUAGGCUUACCACGGAGUCUUGGGCAGACCGGCCCUAAAGGAAUUAGGAGCAGUCACCUCCAUCCACCACCUAUGCAUGAAAUUCCCAACAGAAAAUGGGGUAACAAUGGUGAGAGGCGACCAGAGAGGUUCAAGAGAGUGCUAUCUGAGCUCCAUUAAGAAGGUAGAGCCCCGGGAUGUCCACGUGAUCAUGGCUGAUGUGGUCAUGGCGGAUGUCCUAGGUGACGCUCCCACUAACUAGGAAGAUGUUGAAAUGAUUGACGCACCGCUUAUUCAGGAGGUGUUGAUCGUUGAUGAGAUCGACCCCUGCAUAAUGGAACAUGAGCCUCAAGCAUCCCCUGUAGAGGAACUUGAGAGCUUCUCAGCCGACCCCCAAGAUCCGUCCAAGGUAUUGAAAGUAGGCAGAGGCCUAUUCAACAUUUUGAGAGAAAAGAUUAAGGACUUCUUAGGCAAGAACUUUGACAUCUUUGUUUGGAGGUAUGAGGACAUGGUGGGCAUAGACCCCAAGAUCAGCGGCCACCACUUGAAAAUUGAUCCUAAUGUUGCCACGCAUAGACAAAAAAGGAGAGCCCUCAACCCUGAGAGGUAUGAGGCCCUAAAGGAAGAGGUUCAGAAGCUCAUCUAAAAUGACUUCAUCAGGGAGGCCACCUAUCCGAGGUGGGUCUCCAACCCGGUCUUGGUUAAGAAACACAAUGGCAAAUGGAGGGUAUGCAUCGACUUUACCAACCUUAUUAGAGCUUGCCCGAAAGACAGCUUUCCGCUUCCAAGGAUUGACCAAUUGGUGGACUCUACGGCUGGGCAUGAGUUGUUGAGCUUCAUGGAUGCAUACUCCGGCUACAACCAGAUCCCCAUGCACCCGGCCGAUGAAGAGCACACCUCUUUCAUCACGGACCGAGGCCUCUAUUGCUAUAGAAUGAUGCCUUUCGGGUUGAAAAACGCCGGAGCAACCUAGCAAAGACUCGUGAACAAAAUGUUUACCGACCUCAUUGGCAAGACAAUGGAGGUCUACGUGGAUGACAUGCUGGUGAAGAGUUUAGAAGCAAAAAAUCACGUAGCGCACCUCAACAACACCUUCCCAAUCCUAAGAAGGUACAGGAUGAGGCUCAACCCCUUGAAAUGUGCCUUUGGGGUGGCUUCCGGCAAGUUCUUGGGGUACAUGGUCAACCAGCGAGGAAUUAAAGCAAAUCCCGAGAAGAUUGAGGCUCUGUGCCAGAUGAGGUCCCCUCAAAAGCCAAAGGAGGUGCAAAGCUUAACUGGAUGAGUGGCAGCACUUAGUUGCUUCGUCUCCAAAGCAACUGAAAAAGUGCCUCCCAUUUUUCAAAGUGCUCAAGGCUGGGAAGAAAUUCUAAUGGACUGAGGAAUGUGAAGAGGCCUUCCAAGGACUGAAAAGGCAUUUGGGGCAGGCCCCCCUCCUCUCCAAGCCGAAGCCCGAUGACAUCUUGCAACUAUAUCUUGUCGUCUCCAAUGACGCCAUCAGUUCGGUACUGAUUCGAGAAGAAGGGUCCACCCAACUUCCUGUCUACCAUACGAGUAAAGCGCUCCUAUCACCGGAGACCCAAUACCCCGAUAUGGAGAAGCUUGCUUUGGCCUUAAUCACGGCCUCUAAGAAGUUGAGACCCUACUUCCAAGCUCAUACCAUCCAUGUACUUACAAAUUUUCCCCUAAGGUAAGUUCUCCAAAAGCCCGAUGCCUCGGGAAGAUUGUUGAAAUGGGCGGUGGAACUAAGUGAAUUUGACCUUAUAUUCAAAGCCAGGGCAGCCAUCAAAGGGCAAGCUUUAGCUGACUUUGUUGCUGAAUUCGCCAACCUACUCGAGGUGGAUGAAAUCAUGAAAUCCGUCGAACCCCCCACGUGGAGCCUCUUCGUCGAUGGCUCAGCUGGAAAGGUCGGCUCAAGUGCCGGGGUUGUCCUCAUCAGCCCCGAGGGUCACAAACUCACCUCGGCCGUGAGGUUCGGAUUCAAAGCCACCAACAAUGUUGCAGAGUAUGAAGCACUCCUUGCAGGCCUCAGACUGGCCAAGGAAAUGCAAGUAAAGAAGCUACUCGUCAGUAGUGACUCCUAGCUAGUUGUUAGCCAAGUCAAUGGUAACUUCUCAGCCAAAGACAAAACGAUGGCCUCCUAUCUGAAAAUGGUGAUAAACCUCAUCCCAUCCUUUGAGAAGUUCGAGUUAACCCAAAUUCCCUGCAUCGAAAACGCUCAUGCGGAUGCACUCUCGAAGCUAGCUAGUAGCAAAGACUCGGAGCUACUCACUGUAGUGCCUAUCGAGCACCUCCUCCUGCCUUCUACUGAGGACCCUAAUGUCAUGUGGGUCGUUGGAACUCCCACCUCGAUGCAACCAAUCAUAGCAUAUCUGAAAGACCAGGCGCUGCCCACCAACAAGAAUGACGCUUAUAAGCUGAGAAGGAGGUCAGCCCACUUCCUCUUCAUUGAUGAUAUUCUCUACAAGAGAAGCUUCUCCUCUCCACUCUUACGAUGCGUCGGGGGAGAAGAGGCUACCUACGUACUAAGAGAAGUCCACGAGGGAGUGUGCGGCAACCACUCUGGAGGCCUAUCUCUGGCACAAAAAAUACUGAGGCAAGGGUACUACUGGCCUACCCUGAAACGGGAUGCCCUCAAAUUUGUGCGAAAAUGUGAUAAGUGCCAACGAUUCUCUCCCGUACAAAGACGACCAUCACAGGAUUUGACUGCAGUCUCCAGCCUCUGGCCCUUCUUGAAAUGGGGUAUGGACCUCAUAGGCCCCCUACCUAAGGGUAGAGGAUGUGCAAGUUUUGCAAUAGUGGCCAUUGAUUACUUCACAAAGUGGGUCGAGGCUGAACUACUGGCAAAAAUCACAGAAGCAAACACCUCCAAGUUCCUAUGGAAGAAUAUUAUUUGCCGGUUCGGAAUUCCAUACUCGAUCAUCUCAGACAAUGGCAAGCAAUUCGAUAACAAGAAGGUUAGAGAACUGUGUGAAGAUCUUGGCAUAAAGAAGCACUUCUCUACACCUCACCACCCACAAGCUAAUGGCCAAGUUGAAGCCGUAAACAAGACAAUCAAGCACGUCCUGAAAAGGAAGCUUGAUGUAUCCAAGGGAGCUCGGGUUGAUGAGCUGUCCCAAGUACUUUGGACAAUCCGAACCACCACCAGGACCCCAACUGGAGAGACCUCUUUUCUCAUGGCUUUUGGGACUGAGGCGAUGAGCCCCGUGGAGGUCGGACUCCUAUCUCCAUGGCGUCUGCACUUCAGCGAAGUGACCAACGACGAGCUUCGGAAGCUCGACCUCGAUUUCAUUGAGGAAAGAAGGGGUGACUCCCAGCUGAGGCUAGGCACCUAUCAAAGAAAGAUGACAAGGUACUUCAACUCCAAAGUCAAGAAGAAGUCGUUCCGAAUCAACGACCUUGUGCUCAGGAGGGUCUUCCCAUCUUCAAAAGAACCUGGUUCCGGCUCCCUGGGGCCGAACUGGGAAGGUCUAUACAAGAUCAAAGAAGAAAUCUGACCUAGAAUCUACUGGAUUGAAGACAUGGAUGGCAAGGCACAACCCCGUCCAUGGAAUAUUGAACACCUCAGAAUCUUUUAUCAAUGAAUUGUAUCAUGCUGGAUGACUUUCCCAGCCUUUGUAAUAUUUCUAUGGCUCAAUAAAAUGCAUUGAUUAAAUCGUGUCAUACUGCGUCGUCGCCUCGGAGGAGAGGCUUGAGACCCACAUGCGGGCCACCUCGCUUGAACUCCGAGGCGCUAGCACAUGCCUCCCUUUGGCCUUGCUGAACACCAAGGAGAGAAGCCUCAACAUGGCUGCACCAUCCAUCAUGUUUGGGAUGCGUCGUCACCUCGGAGGAGAGGCUCAGGACCCACCUCUGGGCCACCUCGCUUGAACUCCAAGGCGCUAGCACAUGCCUCCCCUUGGCCUUGCUGAACGCCAAGGAGAGAACCCUCAACAUGGCUGCACCAUCCACCAUGUCUGGGAUGCGUCGUCACCCCGGAGGCGAGGCUCGGGACCCACCUCUAGGCCACCUCGCUUGAAUUUCGAGGCGCUAGCACAUGCCUCCCUUUGCCCGUGCUGAACGCCAAGGGGAGAAGCCACAACUGCUACAGUCCGAGGCUCACACUGUUCAUCUCCUUAAGUUAUGUUAAUGUGCUUAAGUCCGAGGUUCGCACAGUUCAUUUCCUUAAGUUAUAUUAAUGUGCUUAAGUCUGAGGUUCGCACUGUUCAUCUCCUUAAGUUAUGAUAAUGUGCUUAAGUCCGAGGCUCACACGGUUCAUCUCCUUAAGUCAUGUUAUUUUGCUUAAGUCCGAGGUUCGUACAGUUCAGUCACUCAAGUUAUGUUCAUUUAUUUCAGUCUGAGGCUCACAAAGUUAUUUAGUUCAUGCUUCUAUCAAGUUCCAGUAAAUUUGUUUAACGAGGUAUAAAAACUUGGACAAAAAGCAACAAUGAAAGAAGAAAGACAUUAUAUUGAUAUUUCAAAGAAGGUUACAAAGGAGGGCCUCUGGUCAUUACAUCCAAAUUACUGAAAAAUAAAACCUAGUCUAUGCUUGGCUAGAUAACGGAGGCGCCUCGGCACUAGGGGCUUCGGCAACUUGGGCAUCAGUAGUUGUUUUCUCUGCUUCGGCACUUGGGGCUUCGGCAUCAACUUCUUCAUCACCCAGGACCUCCUCAGCUGGGGUCUGAGGUACCUCAUCCACAAAUUCGGACCUAAGUUGAGCCAGGUCCAAAUUGGGAUACAGCUCCUCUGCCCUCUCUAGCACUUCGGCAUAGGCGAAGUUCCUCCAGUACGAGCUGAAGCUUUUAUACUCCUCUGUAGUGUGGAAAUUGGCGAUGUAUUCCUUCACCGCCUCUUCCCUUGCAGUUCGGGCCUCUUCUCUGGCAACCGAGGCGUCGUUCAUGUACCACUUCGCAUGGCCUUCGAGAAACUGAUAGGCAUCUCGAGCACCGGCCAAGGAGAGAUUCGCCUUCUCAAAAGCCUCAGCAGUCACCUUUUGGUGCUCAUUGGAGACCUCUACCUUCUUUGUCAAGGAGGCCACUCGCACUGUGACUUAUACACUUCCUUCUUUAGGACCUCAAUUUGGGCCAAAGUAGACUCAAGCUUCGCCGCCUCUUCAACUCUCUGGGCUUUGGCUUCUUCGGCCUCGGCCUUAGCAGCUUUAACUUCCCCUGCAAGGGAGGCAGCCUUCCCCUCCGAGGCGUGGGUCCUUGUCUGGAAUUCGCUCAAGAUCUCCCUGCAUUCGAGCGCGAGGCCAAAGGUCCGGGCGCUUUGGCUCACCAAUGCCCUUGUCAAUUCGGUGGCAUCACAAGACGAGGCAUGCAGCUGCCACCUCUCUGUCCAGAACUUGUAAAAGCUCUCGGUGGCACUUCUGAUUUCCUCAGGGAGAGCCUCCACCAAGGCUGGGGCCAGCUCCUCCUCCCUCCUAGAUAGGAAGUUUGGAGACUUCCCCUUCUCCCGAAUCAGCUUCUCCUUUGCUGCCUCCUUUUUGGCGACUUCUGCUGCUCGCCUUGCGGCCUCUACUCUAGCCUCUUCAGCCUCUACCUCUCUUACCAUCUCCAUUUUGAUGGCUUUGGAGGCUGCAGCAAGAAGUUUCGGCUCUCCAGUCUGUUUGGCCCUAUGGGACACUGAGGUCCCAAACUUGCAGCUGAGCUGGACAUGUGUACCAGCUUCCUCUUCUUAGUUUCCUCAGGGACUUUCUCCUUGCCCCGAGGCUCCUUAGGCUUCUCUGGCCUCUGAAUAGUUGCCUCCUCCGAAGCCCUGGGAGUACAGUCCUUGGACAGGCGCUCAACCCUGCCUCGGACUUCCUUUGCCCCGUUGGACCCAGGCGUCAGGGGCCUCGCCUUCACAGUAGACGUGGCCUUCAAGAUAGAGGCCAUGUCCGGGGCUGGGUACUCCCUCUUCUUGAAUUUAUCUGCACAAUAGGUCAGAUCAUCAUCAGUAUAAAAAACAAUAAGGAUAAAAACAAGGGAUAAAGUGUUGGGGCCUCAUACCUCUAGAUGCCAUCAGCUCGAAGUCCAAAAAGUAUCUGCUCUUAUCAAUUAGGUGAUCGAAGUGGCGAAGCUUCAGAGGCCUCUUGUAAAUGUCCUCUAUCACCUCGAAUUCCUCCCUGCUGAGCUCGAACCUCGUACUACUAUCUGCAAAGGAACCCCCAACAGUUAGACGAAUUCAUAUUCUGACUUCAAAAGACAAGCAGAGGUCGGGAGACUCACGAGCUUCGUAGUACUGGGUCGGCACUGUGCAUGCCAGCGCUUUGUCACCCUCCACUGCCUGCCAUUUACCUCGCACCCAUAACUAGGACUCCUUCCACCCCUUGAUAGAGGAAGGAAGUCCCAUCGCAAAGGACGCGUGAGCCCCCCAAGGCGUGAGGUAGUACCACCCCCUUGACUCCUUCCCAAUUACCCGGGGCUGGAACAGGGUCAUGAACACAUGAAGAGGCAUGUCCUCCCCAAGUGACACUUCCUUCCACAGGAAGUACGAGCCGACCAGCUGGCUCCACCCAUUCGGCAGAACCUGGGUCAGUGACAGCAUGAAUUUCCUAAGCACCACCCUAAAGAAGGGGUGCAGAGGAAGACGCAUACCUGCCUUGAACAGGUAUUCACUCACGGCCACGCAGCCGGGCCUCGGAUAGCAGGCCCGCUCGUUCGGCUCGGGGACUAACAUUUCUAUGUAGUGGGGUACACUGUACCUCUCCCUAAGUUCCCCCAACCUCUUCCUCGUCAUAUUCGAGAGCACUCUAGAAGCCCCCCACUCCUGGGUAUAAUCUACAGGCUCCUCGGCCAUGGCAUACCUAUCCACCUUGGACAUCCCCCCAUGAACGACCCCAUAGUCUAAAGACGCCACUGUAACAAGCUCCCUACCCGAAGUGGACUCCAUUUUGUCAGUAAAAAGACAGUAACAAGGGUUUUUUAUACAAACAAUACCUAAGGGAAUUCGACACAAACGGAGACUGGCCGAAAUUCAAUAUCACAGUCAACCUCGACGCGGGAAAAAUUGGAGAUUUGAGAGAGUUUCAGAGUGCAAAGUGUUCAAAAAUCCUGAAAAUUGGGAUUUUCUCGCCUUUUAUAAAGGUCCAAGACGAACCCCAGCCGUCAGAUCAAGUCUCAGUCAAUCCAAGCCCUCCAUUUCAGAUCCAAUCCGAAGCGUUGAAUUCAAACGGUUUUUAAAUCCUAUGCUUCAGAUUUAUACGUGCCUCCCAUGAACCUCUCCAAUGCGUCUGCUUCUAGAAGUGCCAGCUGCCCUCAUAAUUACAUUUUUAAUUCGACGGCAGCAGCGCCUUGGAAGUCGUAACGGUUUAGCCACCUUUCCUAAAAAACAAGCACAAAACAUCAAAUCAUUGGCACAGCAGCCAACGCACAAUCAUUACCAUUGGACCUCGGCAAGCCUCGAAGGUUCGGUUCCUGAAUCACCUCAGCUUCUCUCCUCGCCAUUCAGCAAUCAAGCCUCGCAGGUUCGGUUCCUCAACCACCUCGGCUUCCUCUCCGCCAUUCAGCAUCAAAGCCUCGCAGGUUCGAUUCCUGAACCACCUCGGCUUCUCUCCUCGCCAUUCAGCAAUCAAGCCUCGCAGGUUCGGUUCCUCAACCACCUCGGCUUAUCUUCACCAUUCAGCAUCAAAGCCUCGCAGGUUUGGUUCCUGAACCACCUCGGCCUCUUUCCUCACCAUUCAGCAUCAAAGCCUCGCAGGUUCGGCCUCUCAACCACCUCGGCUCGUCUUCGGAAAUAAAACACCUCGCCUACUCCAUCGCUCAUCCACAGCAGCACUUCUCAAACCCCAACCAUGAUAUAAAUAUCUAUAUUUGGAUUUGGGGGACUAUUAUUUGGGGUUCAAAAAUUCUUUCAACUUUUACUCCAUUAAAGUCCACGUAUUACAUUAAUGAUUAUACCUGGACUUGGGGGACUAUUGUUGCGUAUUGUCACACCUGUCCUACCCACCUGGGCCAAUGGCCCACUCAUCCUGAUCCACGUGGCAUUCCCGCCGAGGUGGCACACAUUGCCGAGGUGGGUUAUAUCUAAAGUGCUUCAAGCCGAGGUCCAUCCGCCGAGGCUCCACGAUCCGACGUACUCUGCCGAAGUCCAACUACCGAGCCCCAUGACCCAAAGCAUGGAACCUGUUGAAUUUAGCUGAGGUCCUUAGGUGGAAGUAUUUGUCAAAUGGUCGAAACCCCGAAGCUGAUACACGAGUCUCUUAACCACAAGGAGCUUCCUCCAUAGUCACUCCUCCCAAGAGAUCGUCUGCUCAGAGAUAUUAUUCGAAUGAUUGAUGAAACGUUUGUCACAAGCAUAAAGGUCAAGUUUUGUCACUAGUAUGGAGGACCUGCGCAAGCAAUAAAUGCGCCGUAAGCUAGCAAGUCAAGCCCCAUACCUAAGAAAAGACGUUUGAACUAAAGAGAUGACGCCACGUGCCACUUCAUCCAAGGGCUCCCAUUUCAUGUGUGUCACUAUAAAUACUUCCAUUGUGUAAUGUCAAAGGCUAAUGCAAGAAUCAAUACUAAAGACUAUAUUUACUCAACUCUCUCUCAGUUACUUGCAAUACACAAAUCGAGUUUAUACACUUUUACAUAUACAUUUACGAGCACCGGUUGGUAAUUAUUGUACAAUCGGAUUACGAACUACCCGCCGGAUUCCGAACGUCACCGUCCCGCGUCGUUGGGCUACUCCCACGCCCCUUUAAACCGCUCGUUUUAGACCAUCCACGUGUCUUAGCGUGUUGGACAUUCGCCCACGCAAGCGCGGGUGGGACCGGCAUCUGUUGGCGCACUUUUUGGAGUCAACAAAUAUUAUCUUUAACAUGAUUAUAAGUUGGCAAGUGGACUAUUUCUAGGCCAGUGCUGACAAUUGGCUCUGUCGUAUAAUUGAAAUAAUUGAUGUUUAGACCCAAUAAAAUCUAUUGGGAGUGAAUAGGUGCAUAAUGUGAAUUUAAAAAUAAUAAAUAAUAAUAAGCAACAAGUCACAAAUUAUUGUUUCUAAAUGAUUUAGUUAAAUCCAAUUAAACUAUAAUCAUCAAUCAUGAGAUAUAUAGCAAAGAACAAAAGUAAAUCAACACCAAAUAAGAUAAUAAACGAAAACCCUUAGAAGGAUUCUCCACAGGGAUUCUCAAAAAAAUAAAAAUAAAUAAAUAAAUAAAAACAAAUCUUGUCAAACGAUCCACUAGAAAAGAUAACCUACAGUUGGUUCGAAUACAACUUAACCUUAUUAAAGUCGAACCACUCAAUCUGUAAAUCACAGAAAAAUCUUCAAUUGUCUCUCAUGCACUUUUCAAAAGCUCUGGAUUUCUUUUCCCUUCGUGUUGAUCACCAAGAACGAAUAGGGCUGUCAAUGGAUCGGAUAUGGAACAGAUCUGUCCAAAUUCGAUCCGAUCCGUUAAGAAAAAUUAUCCAAUCCAAUAAUCCAACGGGUAUUUAAUUGUUAAAUCCAUAUCCAAUUUGCUAUAUUAUCGGAUAUCCGAUCCGAAUUUUUUGCCAACAAUUUUUUCCAAAUUUUUUUUUUUUUUAAACUAUCUUGAUGGGCUCACCUAAUAUACUAGAAGGCCAAAAUCAAUUUUUUUAUCCAAGUGAUGCUCUUUUAGUUCUUUUUAAAGAAGAUUUCUCUUGGAAUAUUUUAAUAAUCUUCCUAUGUAGGAUACUACAUUUUUAAAGGGUACUUCUCUUCUAAUGUUUUAGUGGUCUUUCAAUGUGGGAUACUACUCAAUUGUCAAUUCUAAGUGUUUACUAGUUUAUUUUAUUAUUUUCACUAAAAAUCAUAGCCUUAACAAAAUUAAAAUAAAAAACAAUAUCAAUUUUAACAAAGUAAAUUAUUUUUGGACAUAUUAAUUAUUAGUUUUUGAUGUUAUAAAACAAAUUACUGUAGUUAUUUUUAUCUUAUUUUAAUUAAUAAAAAAUUAAACCUCUUUGAAUAUUUCAACUAAAAAUAUUAUACUAUUAUCUAAUAUUAUUUAUUAUUUGAAAAUUAUGCGUAAAGCAUAAUAUAAGUUUCAAAAUGGAAAAAAUUAUGUUUAAUAAAUUAUGAUAUAAUAUAUAAAAUAUAUAAUAUUAUUAUAAUAAAUCGGAUCGGAUCGACAUAUAUCCAUAUUUGCUCCAUUUAGUUAACGGAUUAUCGAAUACGGAUCUUAAUCGGAUUGAAACCUUAAAUCCAUCUCCCGUUAAUUUCAUCGGAUUCGAAUCGGAUUCGAAUCAAAAUCCAAUCCAUUGACAACCCUAAGAACGAACCUCGUUCUUCUCCAACGGGAACUCCAACUGCCUCUCCCAAACUUUACUAUGAAGGAUUAUUUGGUAAAAGAUUUGAUUUUUGGUAUUUAGUAAUUGGAUCUUUUGUGUUUUGAUCUUAAGGUUGAGAUAAGAAAUUUAUAGAAUAUGUAUUUUAUUUCUGUAGGAUUUCUCUUGAUUGAAAUAAAGGCUCAACUAAUUUUCAAAAAUGUUUUGGACAAACUAUGGCCUAGGAUAUAUAUAUAUAUAAUAUGUAGUGUUCGGGUUGUUUGGGACUCUAAAUUCUGUUGAAAAUCGCAAACUAGGGUUGCCAAAUAAUACGUAUGCUCAAGGGGUCACAUGUUCACUCGAGCAGUGGUUAGGCGUGAAGCGACUGGUUUUGCUGCGAUUUUUUUCAUUCCGUCUUUGACGCCUUCAAACAAACUCCCAACCUUCAACUUUUUAACUUUAAUUACAACUCAAUAAACUAUGAUUUUAGGCACAGAACUACCCAAUACAAUUUGGACCUAACAAACUUUAAUUAAUUUGGUGGCAUCCCACUAAUUAUCAAAUGAAUUGUUAAAGAAUGGUAUUUUAAAUGAAUUAUGAUCAACAAUUCUUUACCAGAUGAUGAGAUCUUGCCGGUCUCAUCUAAAUCUGAUAGAAAAUGAGUUCAGAAGCGCGAUAUAGAGAGGGGGAGUGAUGUGUACCCGUCAGCGUUAGCAGCGCAGUCUGGCAAGAAUUGAGAGCAGUCAGGACCUUCAUAGCAAGUGUUGCAUUCACAAACUGGUUUCUCUUCAACAAUUAAACCAUCCAAAUAUGCCCUUCCAUGGCCAGAGCAUGAGACUGAGGCCACUGCUUCAGCUUCUGCAGCAGCCCUUUGGCUCCAGCUCAACUGCUUAUUCUCAUAAACAGCAAAAAGAUAGUUGAUUACAAAGAAGAUAUUAAGAGCAAUUGAGCCUACAAAACAUACAACAUACAAGAAGCCUUUGACCUUCGCCAUGUAUUAUUGGAAUAAAAUUUGUUCUUAAUUUGUAUUUACUCAGACACAUGACAUGCCACUUGUCUGCAAUGACUAAAAUAUAUUGGGUUAUGGAAUAAAUUUAUGUAGAGUGGACUUGUAUUUUAUUCUGAAAAAUAAGGAAAUUUGUACUUUAUUCCCCAACUUUUACAAUCAGUCACUAAUACACCCUUAACAUUUUUUUGACCCUUAGAUGUUCCUAACUUUCACUUAAUUGCAAAUCACGUCUCUAUUCACAGAAUCGUUGAGAAAUUGUCGUUAACUCACCUACAUACAUCCCACGCAUUUUUUCACUUCUUCCACCGCAUCCGAGAUCGAAAGGGGCAAAUGGUACAUCCACAAAAAGCUUCCUUUCAAAUUUGAAAACCCAACUUUUCAUAUGCAUAUUAGCAUCAGACACCAAACCCUCUUUUAUAUUCAAUAAUCAAAGGGAAAAACUUUUAUUAAAAUUUUAAUUAGGCCACUAAAUUUUGAUUUAUCCCAAUUGAGUUACUAAACUUAUUUUUUUCCCAAAUGAAUCACUGAUUGAGUCUUACUUUGUCACAUUUAGUCUCAUAUUGUCUUCCAAACGGAAGAAAAUUACUUACUGAAAAUCAUACCAAGCCUUAAGUAAUCCCUAUUUGAUAUCUUGAAAAUGAAAAACAAGAGUUAUUGCAAUAUGUUUAGAUUAAAAGGUUCUAUAAUGAGUUUUUUAAAUUUAAAUUUUUUUUACGUGCUGUAGUUGUAGUUGGCAUGUAACACGUUGAUUUUAUUAAGAUACAUUGUGAUAUGAUUGUUAAUUAAUUAAUUUUCUUCACUUGGAGGGUCGGUAAUUGAGUGAUAAAAUCUAAAACAAAAUUGAAGUUUAAUGAUCCAAUUGAAACUAAAUAGAAGUCUUGUGACUUUAUUGAGACAAUCUAAACUCAGAUCCAAUUGAGACGAGUAAAAGUUUAAUAAUUGAAUUGAAAUUUCCCGAAAAGUUCUACGACCUCAAAUGAAACUUGCCCACAUUGAAAAUAAUUCGUAGGGUUAGUUUCACUUUUAAUCAAUGGACUAUUAGUAAAAUCUCAAUUUGGUGACAAUUUCACUUUAGUUUCAAUAUUAGUCUCUUUGCGCUCUUAUUAAUGUCUCAAUCUUAUUUUGAUAUUAGAAAUUGACCACAAUGUGACAUGUCUUUAUGUUUCCAAUAAAUAUGUUGUCCAAUUAUGUUGUGGUUCUAAAACUUGAGAAUAAAUCGUAUUUAAAAAUUGACAACAAUUCAAUUCGGAGCAUACAUACAGUUUUAUUCAUACGAAAUUUAAAGAUUUUGCCUCCAUAACAUGAUUGAAUAGACAGAAUGUCUGUUUACCUAAAUAUGCUACUAGUGGAGGAUUGAAACGUUAAAUUUAGUAAAGGGAUUAACGAAGUGAUUAAUAAAUUAAAGUUUAGUAGUCUGAUUGUGACAAAUUAAAAUUAAGCAACCUAUUUGAGAUUUUACAGAAAGUUCAGUGGCAAAAUGGAAAAAUUCUAGUACCCUUGUUAUCUUGGAGCAGUGGCAGCAAUAAUAUCUUUACUAUUAUUUUGGACAAUAGAAAUAUCUUACCUAUUUUAGUUAUGUAGGAAAAAAAUGGUAAUAGAAUAAAUGGAAAUAGAUACCUAAAAAGGAAAAAGGCAAGUGUACAAGCUUUUUCCUUACAAGUUCUUUACAAGUGGGAUAGGGAUGGGAGAAGAGGAAAAAAUCGAAAAUUUCACAUAGUACUUUUGAUUGAAAGAUUAACCAGAUUGAUUUUGUACCCUUCGUUCAAUAAGAAAAAGGGUCAAUAAAUAGUUAAAGUUGAUUGUUCUUAUUUAAUAAUGGCAACGCUUGAUUGGUUUUGUUUUGUUUUUUUGGUUUCUUGUUUUUUUUUUACGAACCACGAAUAAGGACUUCAGUUACAACUAACUUCAUCUUAAAAGAUCAAUAUAUUAAGAGGAAUAAUUCAAACCUUAAUAUACUUAUUUGUACUUCGAUUUUUAACCAGCAUAUGAUUCAUCCCUUAACAUAUAUUAGCUCUUUCUCAUCUCUUGGUUUAUUAGUUAGAUUGUUUGCAUCGGAUGUGCUCUAAGCCUUUGUGCAAGAGAUCUAAGAAACCAAGGACAAGGAAGAAAAGAGUUCACCUAGGUACUAGACUCUUGGCCUAACUUUCAACAAACUCCCACUAUGGGUCACCAAGGACUUAGCCCCGGUUUUGUAUCCCUUUUUUAAAAAUUAAUUUUUCCUUAAAUUCAGUUUCAACCACAUUUUAUGAGGUUCACAACUUUUCAAUCGUAAACUUCAUAAUUAAAAAUUUAAUUUUUCUCUAAAUCAAAUAGGGCUUAAAGUGAUUAGGGCACAUUUGGCCUAGUUGAAAUGCCAAAUAAAUAAGUCAAAAAAAGUGUCUUUUUUAUUAGUAUGAUUCUAGAUGAAGUCGAAAAAUAUAAGAAGCUAAGUCUGGUCAAAUAUGUUAUAAUUAUGAUCUUAAUCCAAGUUGGCAACACGAAAGAAUCAAGCUGGACGUAUGGAAAUGCUCCGUAGAGUUUCUAGCAAAUCUAAGCAUUUAAUUAAAUUUUCUUUUAACAUAUGGAUUUUUAUAACAUCCAUAUAAUGUAAACUACAAUUCAAAAUAAAUAUUUUCUACGCUUUUUGAGAAAGAAAAAAAUGCAUUAGUUCAUUAAUCAAUUUGUCUCCUCUCUUAGCCUUUUGGUCCUUGUUUGGCUACAUUAAAAUGUGUUUUAGAAUAGUGAUUUUUGGAGAAUGUGUAGUUAAAAAAGAAAGAAAAGUUUUAAAUUUACUGAAAAAUAUGUGAAUGAAAAAAAGAAAGAAGAAAAUAUAUUCAAAUUAAAAUGAAACCCAAACGGGGGCUAUAUCACAUUGUACGACAACUUUGUUACACUACUCUUCCUUCUGUUCUAAAUAUUAAAAUAUUGAAAUUUGUUCAUGAAAUUUUUAUAUGUACAUGAAAAUUAGGGAAAAAAUGGCAAUUUUAUUUGUAAAUAUUUUAGACUAUCAAAUUUGUUUAAAUCUAGUGGUAGAAUAGCACCCUGCCAUGGUACAGACUCGGGUUCGAUUCCCGGCUGGUGCAACGAUUUUUUUCACAAUUUUAAAAAUUGUAUAGAAUUAAAAAGCGAAAAUCUCUAUGCAAUUUUACAAAAAAUGGCAUCAUGUUUAGUAUUUAUUAUUUACGCACAAUUUUGAUCAAGAGAUCAUUCGUGUAAAAUUUUAGUUGUAUUUUCCCUUACUAAAAUUCGUAAUAUUAGUUUUUACAUUUAACGACUAAAGCAUUUAUAAUAAUUAAGUAUUAAUCAAAUAAACAAUCUUAUUGUUUUUGUCAUUGUCCUGGUAUUCUUUUCUAUCCAUCACCGCUUUUCGAUUGCCCAUCACUUUUUGUCCUCGACUUUCUUUUUUCCUAUCUUCUGAUGUUCCUCGCGUGUUAUACUUUUUUGCUCUUACAUUAUGUACAGUGUGUUCACUAUCAUCGUCCCUCCAUACUAAAUUUAAUUUAAAUUCUUGCCAUUGAUGUUGUUUCACCAAAAUGACAAUCUCUUCGUGGAUGUUUGAAAUUGCUCUGUGAUUACAAGUAUUUUUGAACCUUUUGUGUUGAGUACUUAGCAUUUUUGGCUUCUCAUUUUCUUUGGGAGAAGCUAAAAACUUCUUAUAAAAUAAAGGUCGAUUCCUCAAUCGUGUUAAAAAAAGAUCGGUGAGAUGGUUGAUUUGACUCGGGGAAUAUCACUGAGUCACCCAAGAAUAACUCAUUUGACUCAAGCAGGCAUAUUAGACUUUAGUUUGAAAAAGAUAAAUUUGAUGCUUGAAACAUAUUUAACACUCGUCUUAUAACUCUCCAAAUUUUAUUGUUUUAUGGAAAUUUGCAGGUGCAGUCCUCAAACUUUAAAACCUGAAGCACAUUAGUCCCCACUUAAUUUAAAUAUUUUUUCCUUCAAAGCCCAAACGUUCAAUUUAGAUGCAAGCUGGACCCUGCUCAAUCAAAAUUGUUAAAUGUUAACCUGAUCUUCACCUGUUCACUUAUAACAUGGGUAUUUUGAUCACCUUAUUGGAUUCAUAAGAAAAUAGAGAGUAAAAGGACAAAAUACAAUAGCUUCAUCGAUUUUGGAGUCAAUAGUUUCACAAGGUACAAUAGAAUAUAUUUUAACUACACUAACAUGGCUGCUUUCAUCAGAGAAUUGGUGAGUACUAACUGCUGCAUUCUCAUGUGAUUUUGACGAAUUAACUUCAUCUUCCUUUUUUAUUUAGAUUCGUAUUACCAAUAGUUUCUUCAAGAUACUUCGCUCUACUUUUAACAUACUUACCUUUAGAGUAUUGGUAUUCCCAUUUUGGUGGUGGAUAUUUCUUCUUUAGUUUCCGGCAUUUGUCCAGGAAAAAUAUUUAAUGAGGAUAAAUAUUAGUAGAUGUCAAUAAAAUGGAUAGAUAUAUAAAAAUGGUGACUAAAAUUGCCACUCCCAAAGAAAAAUGAUUUUUCAGCUAAGUUUAUGAAAUAAUUACAUUUGACAUUUUUAAAUAAGUUUAAAAUAUGGAAAUUAUGUGUAACUUUUUAAUAAAGCAAUAGGGUAAAGAACCUGCUAUAUCCCCCCACCUAUCACAGGGGGCCAAUGGGGGUUAAGGUGGUGCCAACACCUCGGCCAAUCAACAGGACCUAUCAUAGGCCCUAUUUGAAUGGGCCCCCUAGUAUUACCAGGCCAUAAUGCCAAGGCCUAUGUGGCCCUAGUAAUGGAGUUUUAUCCAUGAGUUUUGCCAUUCAAAUAGGGCCUAUGAUAGGUCCUGUUGAUUGGCCGAGGUGUUGGCACCACCUUGACCCUUGAUUGUUGGUCGAGAUCGCAAGUUGAGAUGUUGUUAUUUUGACACUGGAUUUAAACCCGAGUUUUGUAGCAGGCUUCUUUAUCCAUAGGGUAAAUUGUACGAAGGGUUCCACACCUUUAGAAUUAAAAUAUGAUUUUAUUUUAGGUUUAGACAAAGUGACAAACAUGUUCUUACUAAAAUAUAUGUCAAUGGCCAGCUUAGUAACACAGAUUACAUAGUACAAAAUAAGUAAACUAGUUACCUUUUUCAAAAAUAAUUCUUAUUUUACUAUCUAAAUAACUUAUUUGUCAAUAAAAAUAUCUAUUUUAAAUUUACUUUAAGUUACUUUUCAAGAUUACCCUGUCGUGGGUAGAGGUAGAAUGAAGCUAAAUGCUCGUUUUGUUUAUGUUUCAGUUUUCAAUUUUGAGUUUUGAAUUUAUUUUGAGUUUUUUGUUUCUAUAGGCUGUUUUAAGAUUGCUAAAAAUACGUUUGGUAUGUCAUUUUGUAAAAUUAUUUCUCAAAAUAGAAAAUUAGAAAACAUGUUUCAUUUGAAAUUUUGAAUUUUAUAACAUUUUAUUCAUUAAAAUUUAAUUAUUCAAUAAAAAUAGAAUAAUCAUAUGUUAAUAUUUUAUUAAGUAAUAUAUACAUUUUAAAGUUGGUGAAUUUUACAAUAUUUUUUCUUGACUUUUUAUGCAAAUACCAUUAAUAUCUUGAACUAUUUUUUUUUUAAUUUUUUUGAGAAUUUUUAUAAUUUUAUUUUGCUAAAAUUUUUAUUUUUUAUUUUAUAAAUUUUAUUUUUUUUUAGAAUUUAUCGAUUUUAUUUUUUUAACAUUUUUAAAUUUUAUUGUUAGAAUUUGUGUUUUUAUUUUGUAAAAUUUUCAAUUUUUAAAAUUUAUUUAAUAAAAUUUUAUUUAAAUUUUUAUUUUUCAUAUUUUGCUAGGCACACUCAAAAUGUUAAAAAUGUAUUUUCAAAAAUAUCAUACCAAAUAUGUUUUUAGUAUUUUGCAAAAUUCAAAACUAAGAAUAGCUUGAGAAUAACAAACCAAACGCAUCUUAAGCUUCUUGUUUCAAAGCACAAGCCAAUUUCGAUUUCAUAUAAUUAUGUUUAGCUGAAGUAAUUAGAAAGCAUAGCUUCUCAUAUUUGGUUUUUGAAACUUUCAUUUCUUGCAUUUUUUAGACAUUUGGCAAGCUAAUUAUGUGUUUUGAUAUGGUUGAAUAUGUUGAAGAUCAUAUUUAAAUGAAUAUAUAUAACUUUUCGUCCUUGUCCACAUGUUGAAGUACUAACUACCGUGAACUUGAACAAAGCGAACAAGCAUGAAAAUAAGCUCAUUCACUGUUACACCCAUCCCGUUGCACCAUGCCCAAAUCCUCUUUCGCCAUAGUUUCCAUUGCUUGCAAACCAAAAUUGCAAUCUGUACGUGGCGCAGUGUUUCAUGCAUCCUGCUUUGGUAUCAUUUGUUGCAAAUCACCUAUGGGAGAGUAUUAGAUGGUAGUAGAGCCACAUAAAAGGCUUGGGGUUCCAUCUUGCUGCCAAUAAAAAUUGUGCACCCUUAAGAUGAUUGAUCAAAAAGUGAAUCUUGUUGCAAUUAACCAAGCUUGUUGAAGACAAAAAUGUAAAUAGUUAACAAGAAGUCUUGGGAUAUUUGUUUUGUAUAUAACCGAGGUUUAACUUUCUCUUUGAUGUCUUGGGGCACGACAUAAUAGUACAAGAGGAAACUAAAUGUUAUGUGACAUGAAGUGCUAUAUGGGAUAAGUGUACUUUAUACACUUGUUCGGGGCUUUAAAUAUAUAUAUUUCAAAAUUUUUUGAUAAAUUAUGGCCAAAUUUAUUGUGUAUUUUGGAAGAUAAAAUGAAAGAAAGAAGUAAAAAUUAGCAAAAAAUGACAAAAUACAAAGUAUGGGGACUAAAUUACAACAUUCUAAUGGUUGAUUCGGACCACAAAAUGAAGAUUGAAAAUUUUUAUGGGUUCAAAUUUAAUGCAAGAAGGGGCAAAAUAGAACUAAUUCAAAGUGAAAUGUACAAAAUCAAGAAAAUAAUGAAGAUGAGGACCAAAAUGUAAAAAUUGGGAAAUAGCGUUAUAACUGAGUGAAUAUGGAUGGGUCCUCUCGAAGACUAGCAUAAAAGCCAAUUAUCAACACAUAUUUAGGGGAGAAUUGAUUGAGAAGAACGUAAGAUCGAAUUCAAGAAAUUUAAAUAUCAAAUUCAAGAAUUUUGGGUGAUGAAUUAUCAUCAUCAUCAUCAUCCUGAGCAUGUUAGGCUUAACUAAUUUUGAGUUGGGAUUAUGAUGAAUCUUGUAUCAUAAAUUUUUAACUCUUGAUUUUAUUUAUUUUUGACAUUCAAAGCACGUUUUUAAUUUUGAAUAAUUGACAUGAGUUUAUGCUUCUCUUGUAUAAAUUUGGUACCUUAUUUUACCUUUGAAAGAUUGAUAAGGGAUAGAAAUAAGUUGGAUAUAGUGUCAAUUAUCGUAGAGUUUAAUUGGAAUAGAAAUAUACUAUUAUACUUUACGUGAUUUUUAAGUAUUCAUAAAUCACAAAUGCAUUCUUAUAUAGUCGCAACUGUCAUAAAAAUAUAGUCAAAUCAGAUGUAAGAAUUAAUUUAAUUCUAAUUGAAUGAGGUUGUUAAAUAAUUUAGAAAUAUUGAUCUUCAUAAUCGAAUUAUGUUGUACUUGUUUAAUUUUAUUUUUAUAUUACACUAAAAUGAGUUGAAGAUUUUGCUAUAUUUAUUGUCUCAUUCUCUAUUGAUAUUAAAAGUGGGCAUAAUGAAAAUUUUAUGUAGCAAAGUAUAUAUAUUUGUUUUUCAUCUCUAUAUAUUAAUUAAUUUGAAAAUUAACUUGUUUUUCUAGUAUGUAUAUAUAUUUUUUAUUACAACUAGUUCAACCUAAGUUUUACACUAGUUUGACCUUUUGGCCCUUAACCCAUUUACAUUUUCAAGUCAAUGAUCGAGUCAAUUUUGAAAACAUUGUUAAAUAAAGCAAUUUUGUUAUACAUACAUUCAAAUUGACAUUCUGUUUUACAUUUUACCAUGUGGCACAUAAUUUUACCAUUGAUUUCUCCAACACUUAAAUAAUCAAUGACCUCGAUUUUGCCACCUAUUAAAUACGAUCCAAAUUGUACACAAAUGAUGUACAACUAACAUAAUUUUAAAUAAAGCUAGUUGUGGACAAAACUUGAGUAUGAGGAUUUCCUUGUGGGACUUAAUUUUUCCUCAACAUAAUGGUUUUCUUAUGGUGUCGAUAGCACCUGAAAAAAUGAGCGAAGUUCUUCGCUUCUCCAAUAAUGCCAAAGUCAGUAUUUGUAGAGAACAAGACGAACGAAUAAUAACACCAGUUUGCACUUGAAAGUUUACCUUAUAAGGUGGAAUUUUCUGGUCUUGUUGGACUUUUACUUCUUUCAGAUGUCUCAAGUAGAGCCCAAAAAAAUUAACCGGCAUCCUGUUUAGCUAAUCGCCUAGUGCAUCAUCAUCGCUACUUGCAUGCUUAGCCCAUGUUUGACAUCUAUUAUUUGAAAACUUUUUUUCUACACACUCAUUUUCAACAAUACAUUCACACAAAAAAAUAUUCUACACGUAAAUUCAAAACUUUUCUUUCAUUUCUAACCAUGCAUUAUCCUAAAAAUCAUUAUUCAAAACAUAGUUUUUCCCAAAUAAUGAUAGUCAAAAAGGGGCUUCAUUUCUAUAGAAGUUAUUUGUAUUCAAUUUAUCUGCAUCUAUGCAGUAAAAGAUCUGAACUUUCAAGAUAAAGAUCGUUUCAUGACACCUUACAACUUGCAACCAAUAUAGGGCAGUUCAAGAAAUUUACAGGUGCGGAUAUCAAAUACUGAAAUCUCCCCGGAUGUGUUUUAGCAUACAGAAGGUCAGUAUGCAUUGAACUUUCCAUCAAGAUAUGAUAAUUACAUUAUUUUAUUACUUGCACAAUGAUAAUAUGCUGAACAAUCAAUCAGAUAUUGAUCAUCAGCAACACAUUGUUUCUGUGCCAUUUUCCUUGGUAACAAGUUCUUUCAAACGAUAUAGCAGCAAGUUGAAGUCAUCAUCGCUCUUAAGAAGGCUGAGACGUACAUAGCGAUC